RNAcentral lists this ribosomal RNA (253 nucleotides) under uncultured bacterium. Its description in RNAcentral is "partial 16S ribosomal RNA". It matches the Rfam family "Bacterial small subunit ribosomal RNA", at positions 524 to 776 of the family's 1533-position model. The record is from RNAcentral.
UACGUAGGCAGCAAGCGUUGUUCGGAAUUACUGGGCGUAAAGAGUGUGUAGGCGGUGUUCUAAGUUUGUCGUGAAAUCUCCCGGCUUAACUGGGAGGGUGCGGCGAAAACUGGAAUGCUAGAGGAUGGGAGAGGUAAGCGGAAUUCCUGGUGUAGCGGUGAAAUGCGUAGAUAUCGGGAGGAACACCAGUGGCGAAGGCGGCGACCUGGACGGACACUGACGCUGAGACGCGAAAGCGUGGGGAGCAAACAGG